AGCCCUGUAGUGUAGUUGGUCAAUCACACGGGGUUUUGGGCCCCGGGACCCCGGUUCGAAUCCGGGCAGGGCUA
This 74-nucleotide transfer RNA is filed under the name Candidatus Pacearchaeota archaeon. RNAcentral's name for it is "tRNA-Gln". It matches the Rfam family "tRNA". From Rfam's summary of the family: Transfer RNA (tRNA) molecules are approximately 80 nucleotides in length. Lineage: Archaea; Nanobdellati. The record is from RNAcentral.